RNAcentral lists this ribosomal RNA (1202 nucleotides) under Staphylococcus aureus. Its description in RNAcentral is "bacterial SSU rRNA". It matches the Rfam family "Bacterial small subunit ribosomal RNA", at positions 1 to 1184 of the family's 1533-position model. The record is from RNAcentral. Lineage: Bacteria; Bacillati; Bacillota; Bacilli; Caryophanales; Staphylococcaceae.
UUUAUGGAGAGUUUGAUCCUGGCUCAGGAUGAACGCUGGCGGCGUGCCUAAUACAUGCAAGUCGAGCGAACGGACGAGAAGCUUGCUUCUCUGAUGUUAGCGGCGGACGGGUGAGUAACACGUGGAUAACCUACCUAUAAGACUGGGAUAACUUCGGGAAACCGGAGCUAAUACCGGAUAAUAUUUUGAACCGCAUGGUUCAAAAGUGAAAGACGGUCUUGCUGUCACUUAUAGAUGGAUCCGCGCUGCAUUAGCUAGUUGGUAAGGUAACGGCUUACCAAGGCAACGAUGCAUAGCCGACCUGAGAGGGUGAUCGGCCACACUGGAACUGAGACACGGUCCAGACUCCUACGGGAGGCAGCAGUAGGGAAUCUUCCGCAAUGGGCGAAAGCCUGACGGAGCAACGCCGCGUGAGUGAUGAAGGUCUUCGGAUCGUAAAACUCUGUUAUUAGGGAAGAACAUAUGUGUAAGUAACUGUGCACAUCUUGACGGUACCUAAUCAGAAAGCCACGGCUAACUACGUGCCAGCAGCCGCGGUAAUACGUAGGUGGCAAGCGUUAUCCGGAAUUAUUGGGCGUAAAGCGCGCGUAGGCGGUUUUUUAAGUCUGAUGUGAAAGCCCACGGCUCAACCGUGGAGGGUCAUUGGAAACUGGAAAACUUGAGUGCAGAAGAGGAAAGUGGAAUUCCAUGUGUAGCGGUGAAAUGCGCAGAGAUAUGGAGGAACACCAGUGGCGAAGGCGACUUUCUGGUCUGUAACUGACGCUGAUGUGCGAAAGCGUGGGGAUCAAACAGGAUUAGAUACCCUGGUAGUCCACGCCGUAAACGAUGAGUGCUAAGUGUUAGGGGGUUUCCGCCCCUUAGUGCUGCAGCUAACGCAUUAAGCACUCCGCCUGGGGAGUACGACCGCAAGGUUGAAACUCAAAGGAAUUGACGGGGACCCGCACAAGCGGUGGAGCAUGUGGUUUAAUUCGAAGCAACGCGAAGAACCUUACCAAAUCUUGACAUCCUUUGACAACUCUAGAGAUAGAGCCUUCCCCUUCGGGGGACAAAGUGACAGGUGGUGCAUGGUUGUCGUCAGCUCGUGUCGUGAGAUGUUGGGUUAAGUCCCGCAACGAGCGCAACCCUUAAGCUUAGUUGCCAUCAUUAAGUUGGGCACUCUAAGUUGACUGCCGGUGACAAACCGGAGGAAGGUGGGGAUGACG